Molecule: ribosomal RNA, 497 nt
Filed under: uncultured bacterium
Lineage: Bacteria
Description: partial 16S ribosomal RNA
Rfam family: Bacterial small subunit ribosomal RNA
Source: RNAcentral
GACAAACGCUGGCGGCGUGCCUAAUACAUGCAAGUUGAGCGCUGAAGGUUGGUACUUGUACCGACUGGAUGAGCAGCGAACGGGUGAGUAACGCGUGGGGAAUCUGCCUUUGAGCGGGGGACAACAUUUGGAAACGAAUGCUAAUACCGCAUAAAAACUUUAAACACAAGUUUUAAGUUUGAAAGAUGCAAUUGCAUCACUCAAAGAUGAUCCCGCGUUGUAUUAGCUAGUUGGUGAGGUAAAGGCUCACCAAGGCGAUGAUACAUAGCCGACCUGAGAGGGUGAUCGGCCACAUUGGGACUGAGACACGGCCCAAACUCCUACGGGAGGCAGCAGUAGGGAAUCUUCGGCAAUGGACGAAAGUCUGACCGAGCAACGCCGCGUGAGUGAAGAAGGUUUUCGGAUCGUAAAACUCUGUUGGUAGAGAAGAACGUUGGUGAGAGUGGAAAGCUCAUCAAGUGACGGUAACUACCCAGAAAGGGACGGCUAACUACGUG